This 2144-nucleotide ribosomal RNA is filed under the name human gut metagenome. RNAcentral describes it as "bacterial LSU rRNA". It matches the Rfam family "Bacterial large subunit ribosomal RNA", at positions 708 to 2725 of the family's 2925-position model. The record is from RNAcentral.
CCUGGACCCGAAGCGGGAUGAUCUAGCCCUGGGCAGGUUGAAGCGCGGGUAAGACCGCGUGGAGGACCGAACCCACCUGGGUUGAAAACCGGGGGGAUGACCUGGGGCUAGGGGUGAAAGGCCAAUCAAAUUCCGUGAUAGCUGGUUCUCUCCGAAAUGCAUUUAGGUGCAGCGUCGGUUGAUUGCAUCGCGGGGGUAGAGCUACUGGAUGCUUGCGGGCCCGUAUGGGGUACCAAUAGCAGCCAAACUCCGAAUACCGUGGAUGUGUAUUCCGGCAGUGAGUCGGCGGGGGAUAAGCUCCGUCGUCGAGAGGGAGACAGCCCAGAUCGUCGUCUAAGGUCCCGAAGCGUGUGCUAAGUGGGAAAGGAUGUGGAGUCGCAUAGACAGCCAGGAGGUUGGCUCAGAAGCAGCCAUCCUUGAAAGAGUGCGUAACAGCUCACUGGUCUAGUGGUUCCGCGCCGACAAUGUAGCGGGGCUCAAGCACACCACCGAAGACGCGGCAGCGGCCUUUGCGGCCGUUGGGUAGGAGAGCGUCCCGCGUGGGGCGAAGCGGCCGGGGAACCGUGCCGUGGACCGCGCGGGAGUGAGAAUGCAGACAUGAGUAGCGAGAGACGGGUGAGGAUCCCGUCCGCUGGAUGACCAAGGGUUCCGGGGCCACGUUCGUCGUCCCCGGGUGAGUCGGGUCCUAAGGCGAGGCCGACAGGCGUAGUCGAAUGGAUGAACGGGUGGAUAUUCCCGUACCGGCGGCGUACCGUAAGAGCCGAACGGAUGAGUACUAACCUCCGGUCGCGUGGCGUCGUUCCCUUCGGGGUUCGGUGUCCGCGGUCGUUGGGAGCGUAGUCCCGGUAGGCUAGCGCACAGGGGUGACACGGAAUGGGAGCCGGCCGCGGAGGUGGUUUUCCGUGGUCAAGCACGCAGCCCGUCCCAUAGGCAAAUCCGUGGGGCAUGUAGGGUGAGGUGUGAUGAUGGGCGUCCUUUGGACGCGAUAUCCGGUGGUCCAGGCCGUCGAGAAAAGCCUCGGCGCGAGGGGCGUCGCCGCCCGUACCCCAAACCGACACUGGUGGUCAGGUAGAGAAUACCAAGGCGAUCGAGCGAAUCCUGGUCAAGGAACUCGGCAAAUCACUCCCGUGCCUUCGGUAUAAGGGAGACCCCCGGGCGUGAAGAGGCUUGCCCUCGGAGCGUUGGGGGGUGGCACAGACCAGGGGGUAGCGACUGUUUACCAAAAACACAGGUGCAUGCGAAGGCGCAAGCCGCUGUAUAUGCACUGACGCCUGCCCGGUGCCGGAAGGUUAAGAGGAUCCGUCAGUCCCUUUUGGGGUGAAGCGGUGAAUUCAAGCCCCGGUAAACGGCGGUGGUAACUAUAACCAUCCUAAGGUAGCGAAAUUCCUUGUCGGGUAAGUUCCGACCUGCACGAAUGGCGUAACGACUUCCCCACUGUCUCGACCAGGAGCUCGGCGAAAUUGCAGUACGAGUAAAGAUGCUCGUUAAGCGCAGAAGGACGAAAAGACCCCGGGACCUUUACUAUACCUUGGUAUUGGCGUUAGGCGCGGAUUGUGUAGCAUAGGCGGGAGGCUUCGAAGCAUGGGCGCCAGCCCGUGUGGAGCCGCAAGGUGAAAUACCGCUCUGUUCUCGUUUGACGUCUAACCUCGAACAGUCAUCCUGUUCAGGGACAGUGCCUGGCGGGUAGUUUAACUGGGGCGGUUGCCUCCCAAAGAGUAACGGAGGCGCUCAAAGGUCCGCUCAGCCCGGUUGGCAAUCGGGUUUCGAGUGUAAUCGCACAAGCGGGCUUGACUGCGAGAACGACGGUUCGGGCAGGGACGAAAGUCGGAGAUAGUGAUCCGGUGCCGGCGCACGGGCGCGGCAUCGCUCAACGGAUAAAAGGUACCCCGGGGAUAACAGGCUGAUCAUUCCCAAGAGUCCAUAUCGACGGGAUGGUUUGGCACCUCGAUGUCGGCUCGUCGCAUCCUGGGGCUGGAGCAGGUCCCAAGGGUUCGGCUGUUCGCCGAUUAAAGCGGCACGCGAGCUGGGUUCAGAACGUCGUGAGACAGUUUGGUCUCUAUCCUCUGCGCUCGUUGGAAUCCUGAGGAGGCCUGCCCAUAGUACGAGAGGACCUGGGUGGACGAACCUCUGGUAUGCCGGUUGUC